CCUACGGGAGGCAGCAGUGAGGAAUAUUGGUCAAUGGACGAGAGUCUGAACCAGCCAAGUAGCGUGAAGGAUGACUGCCCCAUGGGUUGUAAACUUCUUUUAUAAAGGAAUAAAACGAGGCACGUGUGCCUUUUUGCAUGUACUUUAUGAAUAAGGAUCGGCUAACUCCGUGCCAGCAGCCGCGGUAAUACGGAGGAUCCGAGCGUUAUCCGGAUUUAUUGGGUUUAAAGGGAGCGUAGAUGGGUUUUUAAGUCAGUUGUGAAAGUUUGCGGCUCAACCGUAAAAUUGCAAUUGAUACUGGCAGUCUUGAGUACAGUUGAGGUAAGCGGAAUUCGUGGUGUAGCGGUGAAAUGCUUAGAUAUCACGAAGAACCCCGAUUGCGAAGGCAGCUUACUAAACUGUGACUGACAUUGAUGCGCGAAAGUGUGGGGAGCAAACAGGAUUAGAUACCCUUGUAGUC
RNAcentral lists this ribosomal RNA (460 nucleotides) under uncultured bacterium. RNAcentral's name for it is "partial 16S ribosomal RNA". It matches the Rfam family "Bacterial small subunit ribosomal RNA", at positions 338 to 795 of the family's 1533-position model. The record is from RNAcentral.